GACGAACGCUGGCGGCGUGCCUAAUACAUGCAAGUAGAACGCUGAAGCGAGGAGCUUGCUCUUCUUGGCUGAGUUGCGAACGGGUGAGUAACGCGUAGGUAACCUGCCUGGUAGCGGGGGAUAACUAUUGGAAACGAUAGCUAAUACCGCAUAAAAUUGAUUAUUGCAUGAUAAUUAAUUGAAAGAUGCAACUGCAUCACUACCCGAUGGACCUGCGUUGUAUUAGCUAGUUGGUGAGGUAACGGCCCACCAAGGCGACGAUACAUAGCCGACCUGAGAGGGUGAUCGGCCACACUGGGACUGAGACACGGCCCAGACUCCUACGAGAGGCAGCAGUAGGGAAUCUGCGGCAAUGGGGGGAACCCUGGCCGAGCAGCGCCGCGUGAGUGAAGAAGGUGUUCGGAUCGUAAAGCUCUGUUGUAGGAGAAGAACGGGUGUGAGAGUGGAAAGUGCACACUGUGACGGUAUCGUACCAGAAAGGGACGGCUAACUACGU
Molecule: ribosomal RNA, 496 nt
Filed under: uncultured bacterium
Lineage: Bacteria
Description: partial 16S ribosomal RNA
Rfam family: Bacterial small subunit ribosomal RNA
Source: RNAcentral